UGAGUAACACGUAGGUAACCUACCCUGGUGCCUGGAAUAACCUGUCGAAAGGCGGGCUAAUACCAGAUAAGACCACGGAGACCUCGGUCUCUGAGGCAAAAGGUGGCCUCUGCUUGCAUGCUAUCACACCGGGAGGGGCCUGCGCGCCAUUAGCUUGUUGGUGAGGUAACGGCUCACCAAGGCUGAGAUGGCUAGCUGGUCUGAGAGGAUGAUCAGCCACACUGGGACUGAGACACGGCCCAGACUCCUACGGGAGGCAGCAGUGGGGAAUAUUGCGCAAUGGGCGAAAGCCUGACGCAGCGACGCCGUGUGAGUGAUGAAGGCCCUCGGGUCGUAAAGCUCUGUCAGGAGGGACGAAACCUCGGUAAGUUAAUAUCUUAUCGACCUGACGGUACCUCCAAAGGAAGCACCGGCUAACUCCGUGCCAGCAGCCGCGGUAAUACGGAGGGUGCAAGCGUUGUUCGGAAUUACUGGGCGUAAAGCGCGUGUAGGCGGCCUUCUAAGUCUGGUGUGAAAUCCCGGGGCUCACCCCCGGAAGUGCAUUGGAUACUGGGAGGCUAGAGUACCGGAGAGGAAGGUGGAAUUCCUGGUGUAGCCGGUGAAAAUGCGUAGAUAUCAGGAGGAACACCCGGUGGCGAAG
RNAcentral lists this ribosomal RNA (640 nucleotides) under uncultured bacterium. RNAcentral's name for it is "bacterial SSU rRNA". It matches the Rfam family "Bacterial small subunit ribosomal RNA", at positions 107 to 720 of the family's 1533-position model. The record is from RNAcentral.